UUAAGUUAGAAAGGGCGCACGGUGGAUGCCUUGACACUAGGAGUCGAUGAAGGACGGGACUAACGCCGAUAUGCUUCGGGGAGCUGUAAGUAAGCUUUGAUCCGAAGAUUUCCGAAUGGGGAAACCCACCAUACGUAAUGGUAUGGUAUCCUUAUCUGAAUACAUAGGGUAAGGAAGACAGACCCAGGGAACUGAAACAUCUAAGUACCUGGAGGAAGAGAAAGCAAAUGCGAUUUCCUGAGUAGCGGCGAGCGAAACGGAACAUAGCCCAAACCAAGAGGCUUGCCUCUUGGGGUUGUAGGACAUUCUAUACGGAGUUACAAAGGAACGAGGUAGACGAAGCGACCUGGAAAGGUCCGUCGUAGAGGGUAACAACCCCGUAGUCGAAACUUCGUUCUCUCUUGAAUGUAUCCUGAGUACGGCGGAACACGUGAAAUUCCGUCGGAAUCUGGGAGGACCAUCUCCCAAGGCUAAAUACUCCCUAGUGAUCGAUAGUGAACCAGUACCGUGAGGGAAAGGUGAAAAGCACCCCGGAAGGGGAGUGAAAGAGAUCCUGAAACCGUGUGCCUACAAAUAGUCAGAGCCCGUUAACGGGUGAUGGCGUGCCUUUUGUAGAAUGAACCGGCGAGUUACGAUCCCGUGCGAGGUUAAGCUGAAGAGGCGGAGCCGCAGCGAAAGCGAGUCUGAAUAGGGCGUUUAGUACGUGGUCGUAGACCCGAAACCAGGUGAUCUACCCAUGUCCAGGGUGAAGUUCAGGUAACACUGAAUGGAGGCCCGAACCCACGCACGUUGAAAAGUGCGGGGAUGAGGUGUGGGUAGCGGAGAAAUUCCAAUCGAACCUGGAGAUAGCUGGUUCUCCCCGAAAUAGCUUUAGGGCUAGCCUUAAGUGUAAGAGUCUUGGAGGUAGAGCACUGAUUGGACUAGGGGUCCUCAUCGGAUUACCGAAUUCAGUCAAACUCCGAAUGCCAAUGACUUAUCCUUAGGAGUCAGACUGCGAGUGAUAAGAUCCGUAGUCAAAAGGGAAACAGCCCAGACCGCCAGCUAAGGUCCCAAAGUGUGUAUUAAGUGGAAAAGGAUGUGGAGUUGCUUAGACAACUAGGAUGUUGGCUUAGAAGCAGCCACCAUUUAAAGAGUGCGUAAUAGCUCACUAGUCGAGUGACUCUGCGCCGAAAAUGUACCGGGGCUAAAUACACCACCGAAGCUGCGGAUUGAUACCGAAUGGUAUCAGUGGUAGGGGAGCGUUCUAAGGACAGUGAAGUCAGACCGUAAGGACUGGUGGAGUGCUUAGAAGUGAGAAUGCCGGUAUGAGUAGCGAAAGACGGGUGAGAAUCCCGUCCACCGAAUGCCUAAGGUUUCCUGAGGAAGGCUCGUCCGCUCAGGGUUAGUCAGGACCUAAGCCGAGGCCGACAGGCGUAGGCGAUGGACAACAGGUUGAUAUUCCUGUACCACCUCUUUAUCGUUUGAGCAAUGGAGGGACGCAGAAGGAUAGAAGAAGCGUGCGAUUGGUUGUGCACGUCCAAGCAGUUAGGCUGAUAAGUAGGCAAAUCCGCUUAUCAUGAAGGCUGAGCUGUGAUGGGGAAGCUCCUUAUGGAGCGAAGUCUUUGAUUCCCCGCUGCCAAGAAAAGCUUCUAGCGAGAUAAAAGGUGCCUGUACCGCAAACCGACACAGGUAGGCGAGGAGAGAAUCCUAAGGUGUGCGAGAGAACUCUGGUUAAGGAACUCGGCAAAAUGACCCCGUAACUUCGGGAGAAGGGGUGCUUUCUUAACGGAAAGCCGCAGUGAAUAGGCCCAAGCGACUGUUUAGCAAAAACACAGCUCUCUGCGAAGCCGUAAGGCGAAGUAUAGGGGGUGACACCUGCCCGGUGCUGGAAGGUUAAGGAGAGGGGUUAGCGUAAGCGAAGCUCUGAACUGAAGCCCCAGUAAACGGCGGCCGUAACUAUAACGGUCCUAAGGUAGCGAAAUUCCUUGUCGGGUAAGUUCCGACCCGCACGAAAGGUGUAACGAUUUGGGCACUGUCUCAACCAGAGACUCGGUGAAAUUAUAGUACCUGUGAAGAUGCAGGUUACCCGCGACAGGACGGAAAGACCCCGUGGAGCUUUACUGUAGCCUGAUAUUGAAUUUUGGUACAGUUUGUACAGGAUAGGCGGGAGCCAUUGAAACCGGAGCGCUAGCUUCGGUGGAGGCGCUGGUGGGAUACCGCCCUGACUGUAUUGAAAUUCUAACCUACGGGUCUUAUCGACCCGGGAGACAGUGUCAGGUGGGCAGUUUGACUGGGGCGGUCGCCUCCUAAAGUGUAACGGAGGCGCCCAAAGGUUCCCUCAGAAUGGUUGGAAAUCAUUCGUAGAGUGCAAAGGCAUAAGGGAGCUUGACUGCGAGACCUACAAGUCGAGCAGGGACGAAAGUCGGGCUUAGUGAUCCGGUGGUUCCGCAUGGAAGGGCCAUCGCUCAACGGAUAAAAGCUACCCCGGGGAUAACAGGCUUAUCUCCCCCAAGAGUCCACAUCGACGGGGAGGUUUGGCACCUCGAUGUCGGCUCAUCGCAUCCUGGGGCUGUAGUCGGUCCCAAGGGUUGGGCUGUUCGCCCAUUAAAGCGGUACGCGAGCUGGGUUCAGAACGUCGUGAGACAGUUCGGUCCCUAUCCGUCGUGGGCGUAGGAAAUUUGAGAGGAGCUGUCCUUAGUACGAGAGGACCGGGAUGGACGCACCGCUGGUGUACCAGUUGUUCUGCCAAGGGCAUAGCUGGGUAGCUAUGUGCGGAAGGGAUAAGUGCUGAAAGCAUCUAAGCAUGAAGCCCCCCUCAAGAUGAGAUUUCCCAUAGCGUAAGCUAGUAAGAUCCCUGAAAGAUGAUCAGGUUGAUAGGUUCGAGGUGGAAGCAUGGUGACAUGUGGAGCUGACGAAUACUAAUAGAUCGAGGACUUAACCAU
RNAcentral lists this ribosomal RNA (2921 nucleotides) under Streptococcus pneumoniae. RNAcentral's name for it is "bacterial LSU rRNA". It matches the Rfam family "Bacterial large subunit ribosomal RNA". The record is from RNAcentral. Lineage: Bacteria; Bacillati; Bacillota; Bacilli; Lactobacillales; Streptococcaceae.